This 1950-nucleotide ribosomal RNA is filed under the name Staphylococcus aureus. RNAcentral describes it as "bacterial LSU rRNA". It matches the Rfam family "Bacterial large subunit ribosomal RNA", at positions 1 to 1948 of the family's 2925-position model. Lineage: Bacteria; Bacillati; Bacillota; Bacilli; Caryophanales; Staphylococcaceae. The record is from RNAcentral.
AGAUUAAGUUAUUAAGGGCGCACGGUGGAUGCCUUGGCACUAGAAGCCGAUGAAGGACGUUACUAACGACGAUAUGCUUUGGGGAGCUGUAAGUAAGCUUUGAUCCAGAGAUUUCCGAAUGGGGAAACCCAGCAUGAGUUAUGUCAUGUUAUCGAUAUGUGAAUACAUAGCAUAUCAGAAGGCACACCCGGAGAACUGAAACAUCUUAGUACCCGGAGGAAGAGAAAGAAAAUUCGAUUCCCUUAGUAGCGGCGAGCGAAACGGGAAGAGCCCAAACCAACAAGCUUGCUUGUUGGGGUUGUAGGACACUCUAUACGGAGUUACAAAGGACGACAUUAGACGAAUCAUCUGGAAAGAUGAAUCAAAGAAGGUAAUAAUCCUGUAGUCGAAAAUGUUGUCUCUCUUGAGUGGAUCCUGAGUACGACGGAGCACGUGAAAUUCCGUCGGAAUCUGGGAGGACCAUCUCCUAAGGCUAAAUACUCUCUAGUGACCGAUAGUGAACCAGUACCGUGAGGGAAAGGUGAAAAGCACCCCGGAAGGGGAGUGAAAUAGAACCUGAAACCGUGUGCUUACAAGUAGUCAGAGCCCGUUAAUGGGUGAUGGCGUGCCUUUUGUAGAAUGAACCGGCGAGUUACGAUUUGAUGCAAGGUUAAGCAGUAAAUGUGGAGCCGUAGCGAAAGCGAGUCUGAAUAGGGCGUUUAGUAUUUGGUCGUAGACCCGAAACCAGGUGAUCUACCCUUGGUCAGGUUGAAGUUCAGGUAACACUGAAUGGAGGACCGAACCGACUUACGUUGAAAAGUGAGCGGAUGAACUGAGGGUAGCGGAGAAAUUCCAAUCGAACCUGGAGAUAGCUGGUUCUCUCCGAAAUAGCUUUAGGGCUAGCCUCAAGUGAUGAUUAUUGGAGGUAGAGCACUGUUUGGACGAGGGGCCCCUCUCGGGUUACCGAAUUCAGACAAACUCCGAAUGCCAAUUAAUUUAACUUGGGAGUCAGAACAUGGGUGAUAAGGUCCGUGUUCGAAAGGGAAACAGCCCAGACCACCAGCUAAGGUCCCAAAAUAUAUGUUAAGUGGAAAAGGAUGUGGCGUUGCCCAGACAACUAGGAUGUUGGCUUAGAAGCAGCCAUCAUUUAAAGAGUGCGUAAUAGCUCACUAGUCGAGUGACACUGCGCCGAAAAUGUACCGGGGCUAAACAUAUUACCGAAGCUGUGGAUUGUCCUUUGGACAAUGGUAGGAGAGCGUUCUAAGGGCGUUGAAGCAUGAUCGUAAGGACAUGUGGAGCGCUUAGAAGUGAGAAUGCCGGUGUGAGUAGCGAAAGACGGGUGAGAAUCCCGUCCACCGAUUGACUAAGGUUUCCAGAGGAAGGCUCGUCCGCUCUGGGUUAGUCGGGUCCUAAGCUGAGGCCGACAGGCGUAGGCGAUGGAUAACAGGUUGAUAUUCCUGUACCACCUAUAAUCGUUUUAAUCGAUGGGGGGACGCAGUAGGAUAGGCGAAGCGUGCGAUUGGAUUGCACGUCUAAGCAGUAAGGCUGAGUAUUAGGCAAAUCCGGUACUCGUUAAGGCUGAGCUGUGAUGGGGAGAAGACAUUGAGUCUUCGAGUCGUUGAUUUCACACUGCCGAGAAAAGCCUCUAGAUAGAAAAUAGGUGCCCGUACCGCAAACCGACACAGGUAGUCAAGAUGAGAAUUCUAAGGUGAGCGAGCGAACUCUCGUUAAGGAACUCGGCAAAAUGACCCCGUAACUUCGGGAGAAGGGGUGCUCUUUAGGGUUAACGCCCAGAAGAGCCGCAGUGAAUAGGCCCAAGCGACUGUUUAUCAAAAACACAGGUCUCUGCUAAACCGUAAGGUGAUGUAUAGGGGCUGACGCCUGCCCGGUGCUGGAAGGUUAAGAGGAGUGGUUAGCUUCUGCGAAGCUACGAAUCGAAGCCCCAGUAAACGGCGGCCGUAACUAUAACGG